RNAcentral lists this ribosomal RNA (3070 nucleotides) under Candidatus Chisholmbacteria bacterium RIFCSPLOWO2_01_FULL_50_28. Its description in RNAcentral is "bacterial LSU rRNA". It matches the Rfam family "Bacterial large subunit ribosomal RNA". Lineage: Bacteria; Candidatus Chisholmiibacteriota. The record is from RNAcentral.
AGCAGACAGUGGAUGCCUUGGUAUCAGAGGCCGAAGAAGGACGCGCGUGGCCGCGAUAGUCGUCGGGGAGUUGCCAAGAAGCGGUGAUCCGGCGGUGUCCGAAUGGGGAAACCCCGCCUUGCGUAAGCAGGGCGAGCCCCGCCUUUUGGUGGGGUAGGGAACCAUCCGAACUGAAAUAUCUCAGUAAGAUGAGGAAAAGAAAUCGAACAGAUGCCCUUAGUAAGCGACGAGCGAAACGGGCAGAGCCCAAACUCCUUGUGCUUCGCACAAGGAAAUUCGAAGCACGAAUCUCGAAGCACGAAACAAUUGCAAACUCAAAUGUUUAAAAAUUCAAAACUCUUGUUUUGGUCAUUUGGAUUUCGAUAUUUGAAUUUGUUUCGAAUUUCGAAUUUAGGAUUUCGGAUUUCCUCAUGCGGAGCAUGAGGGGGGUUGUAGGACUCCCAUCGUGGAGGUCGGAGAAUAGCAGAAGACCGUGGAAUAGGUUGCCAAAGAACGUGAAAGCCGUGUAUGCGAAAUUCGAAGAUCACUAGGGAUGUUCCUGAGUACCAUGGGAGACGGCAAACUCCUUUGGGAAGCUGGGGAGACCACUCUCCAAGGCUAAAUACCUCUGAUGACCGAUAGUGAACAAGUACCGUGAGGGAAAGGUGAAAAGAAGGGUGAGAAACCCAGUGAAAUAGUACCUGAAACUGUUUGCUAACGAACAGACAGAGCUCGUGCCUAGCACGGGUAAUGUCGUGCCUAUUGAAGAAUGAACCGGCGAGUAUACGUUCAUCGCUAGUCUAAACCAGUUUCUGGUGAAGGCGUAGCGAAAGCGAGUCUGAAUAGGGCGUUUAGCGCUGGACGUAUGGCCCGAAACCGGGCGAGCUAACCAUGGGCAGGGUGAACUCCGCCGAAAGGCGGAGGGAAGCCCGAACCGUUAUGGGUUGCAAGCCAUUCGGAUGACCUGUGGUUGGAAGCAAAAUACUUAACGAGCCCGGAGAUAGCUGGUUCUCCCCGAAAUAUAUCUAGGUAUAGGCUUUUCACUUUAACCGGUGGGGUAGAGCACUGCAUGGAUGUUGGCGGGAAACCGCCGAUAUUCAAGCAAACUUCGAAUACGCCGGCGUAUGUGAGAGGACUCAGCGGACUAGGGCUAAGCUUAGUUUGCUAGAGGGAAACAACCCAGACCUUCGUCUAAGGCCUCUAAAUCUCUGCUAAGUCAAAGGAAGUCAUCUACCUCAGACAUCCAGGAGGUCGGCUCAGAAGCAGCCAUCCUUAAAAGAAAGCGUAACAGCUCACUGGCCGAGGGAGGUGGCGCCGAAAAUAUACGAGGAUAAGCAGGGUGCCGAAGACAGGGAUCCUGUGCUUUGCACAGGGUGGUAGGGGAGCGUCCCGCCUACGGUGAAGGUGGACCGUAAGGUAACUGCUGGAGUUGGCGGGAGUGAGAAUGCCGGUAUGAGUAGCGUGAAACCGGUGAGAAUCCGGUUCGCCGAAAGCCCAAGGGUUCCGAAGCAACGUUCGUCGACUUCGGGUUAGGCGGUCCUAAGGUGAGGCCAUAUGGCGUAGCCGAUGGAAAACGGGUUGAUAUUCCCGUUCUUGGUUGUAGUCGUUAUCAGCUGGGGAGGGACGAUGAAGGAUAACCUGGGCGGCGCGAGGAAGUUGCGUUCGUCUAAGCCGUAAAGCAGAAUGUGUUGGAAAAUCCGCAGAUUCGACGCUGAAUGGUGAUGGGAAGGCCAAACGCAAGUGAGGCCAACCCGGGUGAUUUCAUCAUCCGAGAAAAGCUUCGCAGUGAGACUACAACCAAACCGUACCGACAACCGACACUGGUGGGCUGGUAGAGCAUACCAAGGCGAGCGGGAGAAGGAGGUUUAAGGAAUUCGGCAAAUUAGCUGGGCGUACCUUUGGUAUAUGCCCUCCCCGUGAGAUGUCGCGCAAGCGCUGUCUUAUGGGGUUCAACAAAAGAUUACAGAGCGACUGUUUACCAAAAACACAGGUCUGUGCAAACUCGAAAGAGGAGGUAUACAGGCUGAGGCCUGCCCAGUGCCGGAAGGUUAAUUGCGGGGGUGAGUCCGACUUGUCGGACAAGCCUCCAAUCGAAGCCCCGGUGAACGGCAGCAGUAACUAUAACUGUUCUAUGGUAGCGCAGUCUCUAGUCGCUUAAUUAGCGACCCGCACGAAAGGCGUCACGACUUUGUAACUGUCUUGAACCUUCACCCGGCGAAAUUGAAAUGGCUGUGAAGAUGCGGCCUACUGACUGCAGGACAAAAAGACCCCGUGGAGCUUUACUACAGCUUGGCACUGAUUUUUCAUACCGAAUCGUCGAGCAUAGGCGGGACCUCGCAGAUUUAUUUUGCGGGGGUCACUGGAAUACCGCUCGUUUAGCAUGAGAAAUCUUACUCAAAGAUUCUGGAAACGAAUCUGGGGACACUGUCUGGUGGGUAGUUUAACUGGGGAGGUUGCUUGCUAAAGAGUACCGCAAGCGUGCAAUGGUACCCUUAGUCCCGAUGGAAACGGGACCGGACGUGCAAUGGCAUAAGGGUGCUUGACUGUGAGGCAAACUAGCCGAGCAGAUGCGAAAGCAGGUCAUAGUGAUCCUCGUGUGCUUUGUGGAAGGCACCGGGCUUAACGGAUAAAAGCUACCCCGGGGAUAACAGAGUAGUCGCGCCUAAGCGUCCAUAGCGACGGCGCGGUUCGCUACCUCGAUGUCGGCUCAACGCAUCCUGGGGGUGGAGAAGCUCCCAAGGGUUGGACUGUUCGCCCAUUAAAGCGUUACGCGAGCUGGGUUCAGAACGUCGUAAGACAGUUCGGCCUCUAUCCGCAGUCAGCGUGGGAUUCUUGAGGGAAGCUGGCCACAGUACGAGAGGACCUGGCUGGGGCAGUCCCUGGUGUUCCUGUUGUCGCUGUCAAGCGCACCGCAGGGUAGCUACACUGCUUCGAGAUAACCGCUGAAAGCAUCUAAGCGGGAAGCUCAUCCCAAGAUAAGGAAUCCAUCCGAGUUCAGCUCGGGAGAGACCCCUAGGAGACUACUAGGUUGAUAGGCGGCCGGUGGAAGUCCGGUAACGGAUUAAGCCUAGCCGUACUAAUUGGUCGAAAG